UACGGGGGGGGCAAGCGUUGUUCGGAAUUACUGGGCGUAAAGGGCUCGUAGGUGGCCAACUAAGUCAGACGUGAAAUCCCUCGGCUUAACCGGGGAACUGCGUCUGAUACUGGAUGGCUUGAGUUUGGGAGAGGAAUGCGGAAUUCCAGGUGUAGCGGUGAAAUGCGUAGAUAUCUGGAGGAACACCGGUGGCGAAGGCGGCAUCCUGGACCAACACUGACACUGAGGAGCGAAAGCCAGGGGAGCAAACGGG
This 253-nucleotide ribosomal RNA is filed under the name uncultured bacterium. RNAcentral's name for it is "partial 16S ribosomal RNA". It matches the Rfam family "Bacterial small subunit ribosomal RNA", at positions 524 to 776 of the family's 1533-position model. The record is from RNAcentral.